This 1142-nucleotide long non-coding RNA is filed under the name Triticum aestivum (bread wheat). RNAcentral's name for it is "long non-coding RNA (TAES_LNC002241)". Lineage: Eukaryota; Viridiplantae; Streptophyta; Magnoliopsida; Poales; Poaceae. The record is from RNAcentral.
GAAAAGCCCACCUUUUUAUUCCUUGAAAAAUCAAUUCACAAUUUCACUCGACCAUUUACAUAUGUACAAUUUGCUAUUUUUUGGAAAGGAUGUACAAUUCAUGUUACAUCAAUCAUAUGACAAAAAUGGACCAGAAAAGUAAUUUUGCCUCCAUCACAGGACUUGCUGAACUGCUCUUAUGUUUCUCUUCCUCCUAAUCUUCAGUUAUUUACAAAGGUCUUCCAUCAAUCUAUACAAAACAGAAGGGAUAGCAAAUAAGACCUCAGCUACAUGGCAUCACCAUAAAUCGCAGGUUCUAAUGGGAAGCACUGUAUGCAAUCAAACUACCAUGACAACAUCCUGAUUCCAUGGGGAAAAUGAAUCAAAAGCGCAUACCAAAGCAACAAGUCGGAUCUAGGUAAUUGCUCAUGCGUUGCAACGGGGGCAUAAGCAUAACCAAUUAUACCAAACAUGUACGAAAAGAUGGUCAAGUUCUUUCUUUACCAUUAUAUCACCCUCCUCCUUGUUCUUCUUCCACCCACCAUCGCCAUCUAUCAGUACAAUCUCAUCGCUGCACUCAAUAGCCCAUCCAGCUCAUAUGAUGAAUAGUAUGAAAUAUAAGUAGUUCUCAGUAAAGAAACUUAAUGGCAAGGUACAUCGUGGUAUGAUUCAGACGGAAGGCACACACAUGAGAAACUGUUAAUAUAGAAAGGGAAAACACACGUAAUUUGUCAACAACUGUCAAAAGCUUUGAAGAAAUUAUUAACAACCUAAAAGGCCAUCACCUAUGUAUUCACUUUUUCUUCUGAAGAAAGGGUUGUCAUUGCACACAAAUUGAUGCAGGCAAAGAAAUAUGUAUUUACAAUUUUAUUUUCCUCUACAAAUCCAAGUACACAUCUGCGUGGAAAUAUCAAAAUCAAAUAGCACAGAUAGCUUCAACUAUAGCAUUGCUGGAUGUUGUAAUUCAGCCUUGUUAACACGCAUAUAAUAAAAAUACAAAGGUCUUUACCAUAAUUCCUCCUUGCUACUGGCACCCAAACCGGCAUGGGAAACAACACUUUAAAGCCCACGGCCAUGACACAAAAUCUCCAAGUUGUUUUACACGAACUCGAUCAGAUUGGACAUACGAUUCUCCAAAACAAUGUAUAUUUUCUGUACUCAAU